Molecule: ribosomal RNA, 460 nt
Filed under: uncultured bacterium
Lineage: Bacteria
Description: partial 16S ribosomal RNA
Rfam family: Bacterial small subunit ribosomal RNA
Source: RNAcentral
CCUACGGGUGGCAGCAGUGAGGAAUAUUGGUCAAUGGACGAGAGUCUGAACCAGCCAAGUAGCGUGAAGGAUGACUGCCCUAUGGGUUGUAAACUUCUUUUAUAUGGGAAUAAAACGUUCCACGUGUGGGAUUUUGUAUGUACCAUAUGAAUAAGGAUCGGCUAACUCCGUGCCAGCAGCCGCGGUAAUACGGAGGAUCCGAGCGUUAUCCGGAUUUAUUGGGUUGAAAGGGAGCGUAGGUGGAUUGUUAAGUCAGUUGUGAAAGUUUGCGGCUCAACCGUAAAAUUGCAGUUGAAGCUGGCAGUCUUGAGUACAGUAGAGGUGGGCGGAAUUCGUGGUGUAGCGGUGAAAUGCUUAGAUAUCACGAAGAACUCCGAUUGCGAAGGCAGUUCACUGGACUGCAACUGACACUGAGGCUCGAAAGUGUGGGUAUCAAACAGGAUUAGAUACCCCAGUAGUC